This 253-nucleotide ribosomal RNA is filed under the name uncultured bacterium. Its description in RNAcentral is "partial 16S ribosomal RNA". It matches the Rfam family "Bacterial small subunit ribosomal RNA", at positions 524 to 776 of the family's 1533-position model. The record is from RNAcentral.
GACAGAGGGUGCAAACGUUGUUCGGAAUUACUGGGCGUAAAGCGCGUGUAGGCUGCUUCGCAAGUCGGGUGUGAAAGCCCUGGGCUCAACCUAGGAAGUGCACUCGAAACUGCGAAGCUAGAGUCCUGGAGAGGAAGGCGGAAUUCUCGGUGUAGAGGUGAAAUUCGUAGAUAUCGGGAGGAACACCGGUGGCGAAGGCGGCCUUCUGGACAGUGACUGACGCUGAGACGCGAAAGCGUGGGGAGCAAACAGG